Molecule: ribosomal RNA, 492 nt
Filed under: uncultured Bacillota bacterium
Lineage: Bacteria; Bacillati; Bacillota
Description: bacterial SSU rRNA
Rfam family: Bacterial small subunit ribosomal RNA
Source: RNAcentral
GACGAACGCUGGCGGCGUGCCUAAUACAUGCAAGUCGAGCGGAACCUUUGGAGCUUGCUCCAUUGGUUUAGCGGCGGACGGGUGAGUAACACGUGGGCAACCUGCCCUGCAGAUCGGGAUAACUCCGGGAAACCGGUGCUAAUACCGAAUAGUUUGCGGCCUCUCCUGAGGCUGCACGGAAAGACGGUUUCGGCUGUCACUGCAGGAUGGGCCCGCGGCGCAUUAGCUAGUUGGUGGGGUAAUGGCCCACCAAGGCCACGAUGCGUAGCCGACCUGAGAGGGUGAUCGGCCACACUGGGACUGAGACACGGCCCAGACUCCUACGGGAGGCAGCAGUAGGGAAUCUUCCGCAAUGGACGCAAGUCUGACGGAGCAACGCCGCGUGAGUGACGAAGGUUUUCGGAUCGUAAAACUCUGUUGUGAGGGAAGAACACGUACCAGCUAACUACUGGUACCUUGACGGUACCUCACCAGAAAGCCACGGCUAACUAC